GAUUAGUCAAUGCUCGCAGAGUGACUAGCUAACUGAAAUCACAAAAUCACAAAAUGUGCUUAUUGUGAUAACGUAAGGGAAAAAAAUGAUAUUACCUUACUAUAAGUGUUGUCUAAAUAACUGGUGCCAGAAGACUCGGUAACACCAGAAACGCGAACGUUAGUCGUCUUAAACAGGCGUAAAGGGUAAGUAGGCUGCUUUAAAGUCUAUUUUUUAAAAAAGCUAAUUAAUAAUAUUCCUCUAGCCUAGCAAUUGCUAAAGCAGUCGGUAGCCCUCGCUAAUUUUUAUAAGAAAAGCGAGUCGCUAACGCAGGACGGGAUGCCAUAUCUAUAAAUUUUCAGACCUUAAAUUAAAAAUUAAGGCUAAAUUAAAUGAAAAUAGGUAAUUAUUAUUAGAACGGAAAACUAAUAAUAAUUUAUUAUUAAUGGGGACAAAAAUAGAUAUACUUAAAGCUAGAAUCAAAAUUGAGAUAAACCAAAUAAUACUUAUGUGUAAGGGCGAUAUCUGUAAAUACUAAGUAGAAUACUAACGGUGAAAACUUUUUAUCUGGUAAUGAUUGACGCUGAGGUACGAAAGUGAGAACAGGGAAUAGGAUUAGAUACCCAGUUACCUCUCACCGUCAACGAUGAAUGGUAGUUGUUAGUUUAAUUAAAUUAGUGACGAUGUUAACGCGAUAACCAUUCCGCCUUGAGAGUACGGUUGCAAAACUGAAACCAAAAAAAUUAGUCGGUUCUCGGAGCAAACGGAGUGAGCAUGUUAUUUAUUC
Molecule: ribosomal RNA, 766 nt
Filed under: Inocybe cf. hirtella EL707
Lineage: Eukaryota; Fungi; Basidiomycota; Agaricomycetes; Agaricales; Inocybaceae
Description: 16S ribosomal RNA
Rfam family: Bacterial small subunit ribosomal RNA
Source: RNAcentral